Molecule: ribosomal RNA, 465 nt
Filed under: uncultured bacterium
Lineage: Bacteria
Description: partial 16S ribosomal RNA
Rfam family: Bacterial small subunit ribosomal RNA
Source: RNAcentral
CCUACGGGUGGCAGCAGUGGGGAAUAUUGCGCAAUGGGCGAAAGCCUGACGCAGCGACGCCGCGUGAGGGAUGAAGUUCUUCGGAUCGUAAACCUCUAUCAGCAGGGAAGAACCAUCACUGUGCUAAUCAGCAGUCACUUGACGGUACCUGCCCAGCAACCACCGGCUAACUCCGUGCCAGCACACUCGGUAGUACGGAGGGUGCUAGCGUUAACCGGAAUUACUGGGAGUAAGGGGCUCGUAGGCGGUAUGUCAAGUCAAAGGUGAAAGCCCGGGGCUUAACGUGGGAACUGCCUUUGAAACUGGCAAACUGGAGUAUGUGAGAGGAUAGUGGAAUUCCAGGUGUAGGAGUGAAAUGCGUAGAUAUCUGGAGGAACAUCAGUGGCGAAGGCGAUUAUCUGGAACAUAACUGACGCUGAGGAGCGAAAGCGUGGGUAGCAAACAGGAUUAGAUACCCUUGUAGUC